CCGAGUUAGGGUCCCCCUCGCGGGGCCCGACCUCCCAACCCCGUGUCUACUAAACCUGUACGUGUUGCUUCGGCGGACCGGCGUCCUGCGCCGCCGGGGGAGUCCACGGCCCUUCCCGGCCGUCCCCUGGAGAGCGUCCGUCGAUGGCCCAACCAAAACAAACUCCCAAAACCAAAUUAUUGUACCGAUAUCUUCUGAAUCAGACCUUUUGAUGUACCAAUCAAAAACA
This 229-nucleotide unclassified non-coding RNA is filed under the name uncultured Ascomycota. Its description in RNAcentral is "sequence contains ITS1". Lineage: Eukaryota; Fungi; Ascomycota. The record is from RNAcentral.